GAUCACUAAAUUUUGCAAAAGGUUUCCCACGAGUCACUAAAUUUAGUGAUUCCUGGAAAAUCUUUUACAAAGUUCAGUGAU
This 81-nucleotide microRNA precursor is filed under the name Olea europaea subsp. europaea. Lineage: Eukaryota; Viridiplantae; Streptophyta; Magnoliopsida; Lamiales; Oleaceae. The record is from RNAcentral.